GAAAACAGGAUGCACUUAUCUCUUACAGACAUUACCUUAAAAGGUAUUCUGUUUUAUAAUCAUUAUUACUAACUGAAAUGCACUUCUCCCAUUGUUUAAUCAGGAAGAAGAAAAACGUCCUACUGGCUUGUAACGUAUAUUAAGUGCUGAUUCAUGCCUGGUCCCACUUCAGUCACUUCGCAGCAGGUAGCUGUGACUGGCUUCCCUCGUGAUCUAACCUGCACUCAAGAGCAGAUAUAAGUCCGGUUCAUACAACAACACAAGUCAUUUGAAGAUAUUUGUUAUAAAGAGACAGCAUGGGCUCCAAAGUCCUACAAAUAUACGUAGUCAUCCUAAGCCCUCUUCAAGCUGUGUGAACUUACUCCUCUGAAGCCUCCAUUUCUAUCUUCAGGAGAAAUGGCUCUAGACAACCCAGGCCCUCACUCGCAUUCUGCUGGUUCAAGUGGAACACAACUGAGUUGUAACCCAAGUCUCUCCUGUGUAAGAGGGAGUUGUAGUGGGAUAAAGAAAAAGGUGGCAUUUCCUAAAGCAGCUGAGACUCUCGUGAAUGGCUAAAGAACCAACUCCUCGGAAUCUUGAGAAAGAAAUCCUCAAGCUUGUCUAUUAAACACAAAUCCAGAAUUGUGUAACCUCUGGAUCUCCUGGCAACCAUCUAGAGACUACAGGGGAUAGCCCUAAGAAUAAAGCCAACACAGAGGAAGCAAAGUGAAUGAU
Ailuropoda melanoleuca (giant panda) is the source of this 714-nucleotide long non-coding RNA. RefSeq lists it as uncharacterized. NCBI's taxonomy places the organism in Eukaryota, Metazoa, Chordata, Mammalia, Carnivora, Ursidae. The record is from RefSeq and is a predicted model, not a curated record. The transcript is spliced from 4 exons.